RNAcentral lists this ribosomal RNA (263 nucleotides) under uncultured bacterium. RNAcentral's name for it is "partial 16S ribosomal RNA". It matches the Rfam family "Bacterial small subunit ribosomal RNA", at positions 524 to 786 of the family's 1533-position model. The record is from RNAcentral.
CACGUAGGGGGCCAGCGUUGUCCGGAAUUACUGGGCGUAAAGGGCGUGUAGGCGGCCUAGCAAGUCAGCUGUGAAACCCCCGGGCUCAACCUGGGGCUUGCAGUUGAAACUGCCUGGCUUGAGUGCAGGAGAGGAGAGUGGAAUUCCUAGUGUAGCGGUGAUAUGCGUAGAUAUUAGGAGGAACACCAGUGGCGAAGGCGGCUCUCUGGACUGCAACUGACGCUGAGGCGCGAAAGCGUGGGGAGCAAACAGGAUUAGAUACC